UCUGUCCUCUGACAGCCACCCAUGAGCAGGGUGCCCUGUGCUCACCUGGGUCGUCUUUGACAAGGAUGUGAAGCCCAUCUGUGGCACACUCACCACCUCUGUGCUGCAAAGCACAGUAGUGCUUGGAAAACCCACCCACCACCCUGUUUCCAGCUGCAUGCUGAGUGUUGACCCAUCUGCCUACCUAUGGGAUUGACUAGUAAAAUGGGAAAAACUGGCAGUGCUGCUGCGGCCAGGGUUCUCACCCCAGGUUCAACGGAGGCCACUGAAACAUGGCUUGGCACAGGAAAAACUGAGAAGCAGAAUUUCUAGCUGGGCAGACCGUCUCAUUCAAGCAACUUUGGGCUUUCCCUUGCUCUUCGUGAAGGUGCACAGCAUGUUGUGGCAAGAUGUGAGGUGGAAGAAUGCAUUCAAAGCUGGAAGCAGAGGCAAUAAUCACAAUGGUGAAGUAGCAACCAAGCUUUUUGUGGGACUUUUAAUUUCUUCUCCCAAGGAGGACUCUGCCACACAUUGGAUGGGGAAGCUGGAAGCUGGGACACAAAGUGAACAUUGGCUACCUCUUCAUGCCUCUGGGGCUGGAGCGAACUUAGAGGGAGGCCCUGAAGAUAUGUUCCAGAGGACCCACAGCAUUGUGUGUUAUGGUCCUUUCUCCUCUCCCAGCUCCUCCAUAUGAAACUGGAGAGUGAGCCAUCAGGGGAUGGAAAAAUAUAAAUAUACAGGGUUUAGAGGCCGAUGUAAUGGUUGUGUGUGGUAAGGAACAAUGCAACUGAAGACGGGGAGAUCUUCCCAAAAUCCUUGCAAGGAGAUCCAUCAGAAGACCAGACUUGCCAUGAAAGUGAAAAGCAGUGUGCAAGGCCUGCAAGUCCCUGGUCCCGUGAUUUUUACUUCUGAUUUUGCAGGUACCUAUUGCUGCACAGCAAUCCCUGUGCUAACGGUGUUUCUUGCUGAGCAUCCUCAAAAGCAAAACCCCUACAACUGCCAGCCUCUAGCAAUGCUUCCACUUGUCCCAAAUUUCUGCUGAGUGACCCAUGGAAGCUGCCAAGGCUCCAGCCCAGAGACAGCCACCCUUCAUAGGGAAGAUGAGAUCUGGUUUCAUCAAUAAUUGUGGAACCAUUUGGGACAAAUGAUAGAAAUAUAAUUAUUCCUUUUAUUCUGGGGAAGACUUCCCAAACCUCCUCACUUAUCCAGUCCAAAUUCAACUCCACUUCUGCCUGUCAAUCAGCACUAGGCUCCUGCUGACAGUGGGGUGACAGGGCUUGCCCACUUUCAACACUCAAGUUAAAAAAGAAAAUUAGACGCUUUAAAAAGAAAAAAUAUCCAAAGAAUAAGACAAAGCACCCAGUAGUCCCUGUUGGAGAUUGUUUCUGAAUGUUAUGAUGUUGUAUGUUAUGCUUUUUUGCUGUUAUGAAUUGCUUUUGAAGGUGUUUGUUUGCCUGCAUAAUGACAGAAGAACCUUCCUCUAACAAUGCUCCAGAAAAAAAACACUUUUUGCCAAGUUUGGGGUGCUGUGGAGGGCAGCCAUGCUGGAAUUGUGAUUAAGUGUUUUGGGCCAUGCCUUUCACUGCAGCCUGCCAGAUAAAUAUUUACAGCUGACCAUGGAGAAGCAGCAGGGGUGAAGGAGAGGAGAGACAUCUGUAAAUUCUUUGG
Molecule: long non-coding RNA, 1647 nt
Organism: Cyanistes caeruleus (blue tit)
Lineage: Eukaryota; Metazoa; Chordata; Aves; Passeriformes; Paridae
Source: Ensembl